This 484-nucleotide ribosomal RNA is filed under the name uncultured bacterium. Its description in RNAcentral is "partial 16S ribosomal RNA". It matches the Rfam family "Bacterial small subunit ribosomal RNA", at positions 30 to 507 of the family's 1533-position model. The record is from RNAcentral.
AUUGAACGCUGGCGGAAUGCUUUACACAUGCAAGUCGAGCGGCAGCGCGGCCUUCGGGCUGGCGGCGAGCGGCGAACGGGUGAGUAAUGCAUCGGAACAUGCCCAGUCGUGGGGGAUAACACUUCGAAAGAAGUGCUAAUACCGCAUACGUCCUGAGGGGGAAAGCGGGGGAUCGCAAGACCUCGCGCGAUUGGAGUGGCCGAUGUCAGAUUAGCUAGUUGGUAGGGUAAAGGCCUACCAAGGCGACGAUCUGUAGCUGGUCUGAGAGGAUGAUCAGCCACACUGGGACUGAGACACGGCCCAGACUCCUACGGGAGGCAGCAGUGGGGAAUUUUGGACAAUGGGGGCAACCCUGAUCCAGCCAUUCCGCGUGAGUGAAGAAGGCCUUCGGGUUGUAAAGCUCUUUCGGCAGGAACGAAACGGUGGGCUCUAACAUAGUCCGCUAAUGACGGUACCUGAAGAAGAAGCACCGGCUAACUACGUG